This 492-nucleotide ribosomal RNA is filed under the name uncultured bacterium. Its description in RNAcentral is "partial 16S ribosomal RNA". It matches the Rfam family "Bacterial small subunit ribosomal RNA", at positions 29 to 507 of the family's 1533-position model. The record is from RNAcentral.
AGUGAACGCUGGCGGUAGGCCUAAUACAUGCAAGUCGAACGGCAGCACAGUAAGAGUUUGCUCUUACGGGUGGCGAGUGGCGGAUGGGUGAGGAAUACAUCGGAAUCUACUUUUUCGUGGGGGAUAACGUAGGGAAACAUAUGCUAAUACCUCAUACGACCUACGGGUGAACGCAUAGGAGAUUCGGACCUUUCGCGCACGACUGAGCCGACGUCGGAUUAGUUAGUUGGGGGGGUAAAGGCCCACCAAGGCGACGAACCGUAGCUGGUCUGACAGGAGGAUCGGCCACACUGGAACGGAGACACGGUCAAGACUCCUACGGAGGGCGGCGGAGGGGAAUAUUGGACAUGGGGCGCAAGCCUGAUCCAGCAAUACCGCGGGGGGGAAGAAGGCCUUCGGGUGGUAAAGCCUGUUUGUUGGGAAAGAAGAGCAGCAGGGUAAAAAGCCGCUGUUCUGACGGUACCCAAAGAAUAAGCACCGGCUAACUACGUG